UUUCUAAAGAGUUCCUUUUCUCUUCUUGAAUAUAAGCCAUUUAACAAUGUGAGACAUGUCUUUUGUGGUUAUUUGUAAUAUCCUGUAUGUGUCUGGAGUACUUUGAUGCCUUGGAUUGGAAGCUAACUUAAAAGAUGAACUUUUGAGGGUGUGUUUUCUAUUGUGUGGGGCUUUUGUCGAAAUUAGGAUUCCGAAACGCGUUUUUCUACGGUGGGUUCAUUCGACAGCGAUUUACUUUCUUAGAAGUUGCGAGACGGUAUGUUUUUGAUUGCAAUUAUUAGAAGAUGACAGAUCCAUCUUUAAAAUGAUACCAGGUUCGGAAAAAUUGAUACGUCGGAAAGGCAAGAAAAAUGCUGUGAAAGUUGUCAGUUUUAUAAUGGGACCCUAUGGGAAUCGGAAUUAGUGUAAUAUAACCUUUAAAAAGCGCAUUUACUGUAAUGUCAAGGUCACAUGGAUUCGUCUGCAAGCGAGACAAGUAGAAAAUGAAUUUUAAUGAAUGUUUUGAUGAUUUGGGUGCUAAAAUAGAUGAGAGAUGUCAAUAUUUUGGUCCAAAUGGAUGUUUUAGGUGGUUUUGGACUGUUCCGGAUGGGUGGGGGACCUGGUAUGGACAAGUAAGGGUAACAUUUCCAACAAAUCUUAAAUGUAAAUAUUAUUAUGUCCCUAGAUUGUAGUUUCAGGUGGAGAGCAAGAUGAAAAAUAUGCCAAAUUACAUGCAUGCAGCCCAUUUAUGCCAUUUUUCUCUUUGUUUGUAGGCCUGACCGUUUGUCCUUGAGCCAUCGAUGGUCAACAAUCCGCUAGCUGUCUUGCUCUGACUGGUGCACUGGACAUGAUUUCAAUAGUUAGCCAGACCAUGAUUGAGCUUAAGGAUUGUGCUGCGGAUGCAGCCUGUGCAGUUCCGGGAGAAAGUCACUGUCUUGGGCAAUGCGGUCUGGUAUCAGGUCUGGAUGAUCCUUGCCUGACUGCGGGUUUGUGUACACCUCAAUCCGACUCUGUGUCCUGAACAGAGGCCGCAGUGGUGCAGCGCUUGUGGACGUUCCAUCAACAUCCUGAAAGGUCAACACUACACCCAGCUGGGAAAAUUGAUCCUGAUAGUCAUCCCCAGGCCUGACCGUUUGUCCUUGAGCCAUCGAUGGUCAACAAUCCGCUAGCUGUCUUGCUCUGACUGGUGCACUGGACAUGAUUUCAAUAGUUAGCCAGACCAUGAUUGAGCUUAAGGAUUGUGCUGCGGAUGCAGCCUGUGCAGUUCCGGGAGAAAGUCACUGUCUUGGGCAAUGCGGGUCUGGUAUCAGGU
Long non-coding RNA from Dreissena polymorpha, 1291 nucleotides. RefSeq lists it as uncharacterized. The record is from RefSeq and is a predicted model, not a curated record. NCBI's taxonomy places the organism in Eukaryota, Metazoa, Mollusca, Bivalvia, Myida, Dreissenidae. The transcript is spliced from 5 exons.